RNAcentral lists this ribosomal RNA (442 nucleotides) under uncultured Bacteroidota bacterium. Its description in RNAcentral is "bacterial SSU rRNA". It matches the Rfam family "Bacterial small subunit ribosomal RNA", at positions 917 to 1359 of the family's 1533-position model. Lineage: Bacteria; Pseudomonadati; Bacteroidota. The record is from RNAcentral.
GGGCCCGCACAAGCGGAGGAACAUGUGGUUUAAUUCGAUGAUACGCGAGGAACCUUACCCGGGCUAGAACGCAGAUGGAAUGUAUGGGAAACUGUACAGCCUUUAUGGCCGUUUGCGAGGUGCUGCAUGGUUGUCGUCAGCUCGUGCCGUGAGGUGUCGGCUUAAGUGCCAUAACGAGCGCAACCCCUAUUGUCAGUUGCCAGCGGGUCAAGCCGGGGACUCUGGCAAAACUGCCGGCGUAAGCCGCGAGGAAGGUGGGGAUGACGUCAAAUCAGCACGGCCCUUACGUCCGGGGCGACACACGUGUUACAAUGGGCGGUACAGAGGGUAGCUACCGGGCGACCGGAUGGCCAAUCUUCAAAGCCGUUCUCAGUUCGGAUCGGAGUCUGCAACCCGACUCCGUGAAGCUGGAUUCGCUAGUAAUCGCGCAUCAGCCAUGGCG